AUUGAACGCUGGCGGCAUGCCUUACACAUGCAAGUCGAACGGCAGCACGGGAGCAAUCCUGGUGGCGAGUGGCGAACGGGUGAGUAAUAUAUCGGAACGUGCCCAGUCGUGGGGAUAACGUAGCGAAAGCUACGCUAAUACCGCAUACGAUCUAUGGAUGAAAGCGGGGGAUCGCAAGACCUCGCGCGAUUGGAGCGGCCGAUAUCAGAUUAGGUAGUUGGUGAGGUAAAGGCUCACCAAGCCGACGAUCUGUAGCUGGUCUGAGAGGACGACCAGCCACACUGGGACUGAGACACGGCCCAGACUCCUACGGGAGGCAGCAGUGGGGAAUUUUGGACAAUGGGCGAAAGCCUGAUCCAGCAAUGCCGCGUGCAGGAAGAAGGCCUCGGUU
Molecule: ribosomal RNA, 391 nt
Filed under: uncultured bacterium
Lineage: Bacteria
Description: bacterial SSU rRNA
Rfam family: Bacterial small subunit ribosomal RNA
Source: RNAcentral